AGAAUCAACGCUGGCGGCGUGCCUAACACAUGCAAGUCGCACGAGAAAGGGUAGCAAUACCUGAGUAAAGUGGCGCACGGGUGAGUAACACGUGAAUUAUCUACCUCCGAGUGGGGAAUAAACUGAGAGAAAUCUUAGCUAAUACCGCAUAACACUUACGAGUCAAAAGCAGCAAUGCGCUUGGAGAGGAGUUCGCGGCCGAUUAGUUAGUUGGCGGGGUAAUGGCCCACCAAGACGAUGAUCGGUA
This 247-nucleotide ribosomal RNA is filed under the name uncultured bacterium. RNAcentral's name for it is "partial small subunit ribosomal RNA". It matches the Rfam family "Bacterial small subunit ribosomal RNA", at positions 26 to 285 of the family's 1533-position model. The record is from RNAcentral.